Lolium perenne is the source of this 425-nucleotide long non-coding RNA. RefSeq lists it as uncharacterized. The record is from RefSeq and is a predicted model, not a curated record. NCBI's taxonomy places the organism in Eukaryota, Viridiplantae, Streptophyta, Magnoliopsida, Poales, Poaceae.
CAAGUUUGUUGUUCUUUUGAGGCUGUUUGGCUAGCUGAUUAUGCUCUAGGUGUAACUGGAGUAUCUCCAGUCCUGGAAAAUCCAUUGGUAUAUACCAUUAGUAUGUUGCUAUUUCAGUUUCCGAACGCAAUUUGAAAAGACCCAGUGCAUGCAAAUGGAAGAUGACGACUUCUUAAAGGGGAAGGCAAGGCUGGGACUGAUGGUGCUCACGUUGGAGGUGAUCCAGGGAUGUUGGUGUCUUUCAGUUCGCCGAGUAGAAGAUGUCGAACUGCAUGGUGUUUGGUUUCUUUUGGUUCGCCUCUAGUUGCCAUAGUGUUCUUUCCGCUUAGUUUUAAAUUUUGUGUAACUCUUCAUAUGUUUCCUAUAUUACGCUUUGUACUGUGCUUUUCAUGAAUUCAAUAUGAGACUGCGCCUAUGAAAUGCUA